UACAGAGGUGGCAAGCGUUGUUCGGAAUUACUGGGCGUAAAGGGCGCGUAGGCGGCCUUGUCAGUCAGACGUGAAAUCCCCAGGCUUAACCUGGGAACUGCGUCUGAUACUACAAGGCUUGAGUGCGGGAGAGGGAUGUGGAAUUCCAGGUGUAGCGGUGAAAUGCGUAGAUAUCUGGAGGAACACCGGUGGCGAAGGCGGCAUCCUGGACCGACACUGACGCUGAGGCGCGAAAGCCAGGGGAGCAAACGGG
RNAcentral lists this ribosomal RNA (253 nucleotides) under uncultured bacterium. RNAcentral's name for it is "partial 16S ribosomal RNA". It matches the Rfam family "Bacterial small subunit ribosomal RNA", at positions 524 to 776 of the family's 1533-position model. The record is from RNAcentral.